UACGAAGGGGGCUAGCGUUGCUCGGAAUCACUGGGCGUAAAGCGCACGUAGGCGGAUCUUUAAGUCAGGGGUGAAAUCCUGGAGCUCAACUCCAGAACUGCCUUUGAUACUGGGGAUCUCGAGUCCGGAAGAGGUGGGUGGAACUCCGAGUGUAGAGGUGAAAUUCGUAGAUAUUCGGAAGAACACCAGUGGCGAAGGCGGCUCACUGGUCCGGUACUGACGCUGAGGUGCGAAAGCGUGGGGAGCGAACAGG
This 253-nucleotide ribosomal RNA is filed under the name uncultured bacterium. RNAcentral's name for it is "partial 16S ribosomal RNA". It matches the Rfam family "Bacterial small subunit ribosomal RNA", at positions 524 to 776 of the family's 1533-position model. The record is from RNAcentral.